AACUGAUACUACCUGCGGGAACCUGCGGAAGGAUCAUUACCGAGUGAGGGCCCUCUGGGUCCAACCUCCCACCCGUGUUUAUCGUACCUUGUUGCUUCGGCGGGCCCGCCUCACGGCCGCCGGGGGGCACCUGCCCCCGGGCCCGCGCCCGCCGAAGACAUCAUUGAACUCUGUCUGAAGAUUGCAGUCUGAGUAGAUUAGCUAAAUCAGUUAAAACUUUCAACAAUGGAUCUCUAGAUC
RNAcentral lists this unclassified non-coding RNA (240 nucleotides) under soil metagenome. RNAcentral's name for it is "partial contains 5.8S ribosomal RNA, internal transcribed spacer 2, and large subunit ribosomal RNA". The record is from RNAcentral.